CGCAAUACCAAGGGGUGCCGCUGUACGUUCGCGUACAGGCAGGCUGAGAUGCAUAUCGCAAACCCUUUGCACCUGAUCCGGUUAAUACUGGCGUAGGGAUGGUAGCUAACACUCUU
Molecule: non-coding RNA, 116 nt
Filed under: Pseudidiomarina piscicola
Lineage: Bacteria; Pseudomonadati; Pseudomonadota; Gammaproteobacteria; Alteromonadales; Idiomarinaceae
Description: TPP riboswitch aptamer (THI element)
Rfam family: TPP riboswitch aptamer (THI element)
About the family: Vitamin B(1) in its active form thiamin pyrophosphate (TPP) is an essential coenzyme that is synthesised by coupling of pyrimidine and thiazole moieties in bacteria. The previously detected thiamin-regulatory element, thi box was extended, resulting in a new, highly conserved RNA secondary structure, the THI element, which is widely distributed in eubacteria and also occurs in some archaea. Analysis of operon structures identified a large number of new candidate thiamin-regulated genes, mostly transporters, in various prokaryotic organisms.
Source: Rfam by way of RNAcentral